This 447-nucleotide ribosomal RNA is filed under the name uncultured bacterium. Its description in RNAcentral is "bacterial SSU rRNA". It matches the Rfam family "Bacterial small subunit ribosomal RNA", at positions 355 to 825 of the family's 1533-position model. The record is from RNAcentral.
UCGGGAAUUUUGGGCAAUGGGCGAAAGCCUGACCCAGCAACGCCGCGUGAAGGAUGAAGUAUUUCGGUAUGUAAACUUCGAAAGAAUAGGAAGAAUAAAUGACGGUACUAUUUAUAAGGUCCGGCUAACUACGUGCCAGCAGCCGCGGUAAUACGGAGGGAGCUAGCGUUGUUCGGAAUUACUGGGCGUAAAGCGUACGUAGGCGGUGACUCAAGUCAGAGGUGAAAGCCUGGAGCUCAACUCCAGAACUGCCUUUGAAACUAGGUCGCUAGAAUCACGGAGAGGUGAGUGGAAUUCCGAGUGUAGAGGUGAAAUUCGUAGAUAUUCGGAAGAACACCAGUGGCGAAGGCGGCUCACUGGACGUGUAUUGACGCUGAGGUACGAAAGCGUGGGGAGCAAACAGGAUUAGAUACCCCUGUAGUCCCUGAGCGGGCUGGCAAGGCGCAU